Molecule: ribosomal RNA, 460 nt
Filed under: uncultured bacterium
Lineage: Bacteria
Description: partial 16S ribosomal RNA
Rfam family: Bacterial small subunit ribosomal RNA
Source: RNAcentral
CCUACGGGAGGCAGCAGUGAGGAAUAUUGGUCAAUGGACGAGAGUCUGAACCAGCCAAGUAGCGUGAAGGAUGACUGCCCUAUGGGUUGUAAACUUCUUUUAUGAAGGAAUAAAACGAGGCACGUGUGCCUUUUUGCAUGUACUUUAUGAAUAAGGAUCGGCUAACUCCGUGCCAGCAGCCGCGGUAAUACGGUGGAUACGAGCGUUAUCCGGAUUUGUUGGGUUUAAGGGGAGCGUAGAUGGGUUGUUAAGUCAGGUGUGAAAGGUUGCGGCUCAACCGUAAAAUUGCAAUUGAUACUGGCAGUCUUGAGUACAGUGGAGGUAGGCGGAAUUCGUGGUGUAGCGGUGAAAUGCUUAGAGAUCACGAAGAACCCCGAUUGCGAAGGCAGCUUACUAAACUGUGACUGACAUUGAUGCUCGAAAGUGUGGGUAGCAAACAGGAUUAGAUACCCUUGUAGUC